RNAcentral lists this ribosomal RNA (497 nucleotides) under uncultured bacterium. RNAcentral's name for it is "partial 16S ribosomal RNA". It matches the Rfam family "Bacterial small subunit ribosomal RNA", at positions 28 to 507 of the family's 1533-position model. The record is from RNAcentral.
GAUGAACGCUGGCGGCGUGCCUAAUACAUGCAAGUCGAGCGAACAGAUGAGGAGCUUGCUCCUCUGACGUUAGCGGCGGACGGGUGAGUAACACGUGGAUAACCUACCUAUAAGACUGGGAUAACUUCGGGAAACCGGAGCUAAUACCGGAUAAUAUAUUGAACCGCAUGGUUCAAUAGUGAAAGACGGUUUUGCUGUCACUUAUGGAUGGAUCCGCGCCGCAUUAGCUAGUUGGUAAGGUAACGGCUUACCAAGGCAACGAUGCGUAGCCGACCUGAGAGGGUGAUCGGCCACACUGGAACUAAGACACGGUCCAGACUCCUACGGGAGGCAGCAGUAGGGAAUCUUCCGCAUUGGGCGAAAGCCUGACGGAGCAACGCCGCGUAAGUGAUGAAGGUCUUCGGAUCGUAAAACUCUGUUAUUAGGGAAGAACAAAUGUGUAAGUAACUAUGCACGUCUUGACGGUACCUAAUCAGAAAGCCACGGCUAACUACGUG